This 402-nucleotide ribosomal RNA is filed under the name uncultured bacterium. RNAcentral's name for it is "partial 16S ribosomal RNA". It matches the Rfam family "Bacterial small subunit ribosomal RNA", at positions 338 to 732 of the family's 1533-position model. The record is from RNAcentral.
CCUACGGGUGGCAGCAGUGAGGAAUAUUGCGCAAUGGGCGAAAGCCUGACGCAGCGACGCCGCGUGAAGGAUGAAGGUCUUCGGGUCGUAAACCUCUUUCAACAGGGAAGAACGGUCCCUUAGCUAAUCAGCUUUGAAUUGACGGUACCUGUAAAGGAAGCACCGGCUCACUCCGUGCCAGCAGCCGCGGUAAUACGGAGGGGGCGAGCGUUGUUCGGAGUUACUGGGCGUAAAGCGCGCGUAGGCGGUAUGUCAAGUCAAUAGUGAAAUCCCAGGGCUCAACGUUGGAAUUGCCUUUGAGACUGGCAAACUGGAGUGUGUGAGAGGAUAGUGGAAUUCCAGGUGUAGGAGUGAAAUGCGUAGAUAUCAGGAGGAAGAUCAGUGGCGAAGGCGACAAGCUGG